CAUUGGNUCAACCAAUGUAUGCUUUGGAAACUGUUAGACUUGAGUGCAGAAGGGGAGAGUGGAAUUCCAUGUGUAGCGGUGAAAUGCGUAGAUAUAUGGAGGAACACCGGUGGCGAAAGCGGCUCUCUGGUCUGUCACUGACGCUGAGGCUCGAAAGCGUGGGUAGCGAACAGGAUUAGAUACCCUGGUAGUNCACGCCGUAAACGCUGAGUGCUAGGUGUUAGGUCCUUUCCGGGACUUAGUGCCGACGCUAACGCAUUAAGCACUCCGCCUGGGGAGUACGACCGCAAGGUUGAAACUCAAAGGAAUUGACGGGGGCCCGCACAAGCGGUGGAGCAUGUGGUUUAAUUCGAAGCAACGCGAAGAACCUUACCAGGUCUUGACAUCCCGAUGCCCGCUCUAGAGAUAGAGUUUUACUUUUUGUACAUCGGAGACAGGUGGUGCAUGGUUGUCGUCAGCUCGUGUCGUGAGAUGUUGGGUUNNNNNNNNNNACGAGCGCAACCCUUAUUGUUAGUUGCCAUCAUUAAGUUGGGCACUCUAGCGAGACUGCCGGUAAUAAACCGGAGGAAGGUGGGGAUGACGUCAAAUCAUCAUGCCCCUUAUGACCUGGGCUACACACGUGCUACAAUGGUUGGUACAACGAGUCGCAAGCCGGUGACGGCAAGCUAAUCUCUGAAAGCCAAUCUCAGUUCGGAUUGUAGGCUGCAACUCGCCUACAUGAAGUCGGAAUCGCUAGUAAUCGCGGAUCAGCACGCCGCGGUGAAUACGUUCCCGGGCCU
This 779-nucleotide ribosomal RNA is filed under the name uncultured bacterium. RNAcentral describes it as "bacterial SSU rRNA". It matches the Rfam family "Bacterial small subunit ribosomal RNA", at positions 602 to 1381 of the family's 1533-position model. The record is from RNAcentral.